GAAUGGAAGAUAUGGGGCAGGGAAUGGAAGAUAUGGGGCAGGGAUGGAAGAUAUGGGGCAGGGAUGGAGGAUAUGGGGCAGGGAUGGAAGAUAUGGGGCAGGGAUGGAAGAUAUGGGGCAGGGAUGGAGAUAUGGGGCAGGGAUGGGAAUAAUAGGCAGGGAUGGAAGAUAUGGGCAGGAAUGCGAGAUAUGGGGCAGGUGGAGAUAUGGGCAGGGAUGGAAGAUAUGGGCAGGAUGGACAGAUAUGGGCAGGAAUGGAAGCUAUGGGUCACCCCCCACGCGCAGCGCAGUUAUGCGGCAAUUGAUGUGUUUGUUAUGGCUUUAUAGGGCAGCAUAUAGGCAAGCCUAUGGGGCAGCUAUUUGGCAGCUAUGGGCAGCUAAUGGGCAACUAUUAGGGCAGCUAUGGGCGUUAUAG
This is a long non-coding RNA of Coturnix japonica (Japanese quail), 415 nucleotides long. NCBI's taxonomy places the organism in Eukaryota, Metazoa, Chordata, Aves, Galliformes, Phasianidae. The record is from Ensembl.